UGCGCCCGUAGCUCAAUUGGAUAGAGCGCUGCCCUCCGAAGGCAGAGGUUCCGCGUUCGAGUCGCGGCGGGCGUAU
RNAcentral lists this transfer RNA (76 nucleotides) under Planctomycetota bacterium. RNAcentral describes it as "tRNA-Arg". It matches the Rfam family "tRNA". From Rfam's summary of the family: Transfer RNA (tRNA) molecules are approximately 80 nucleotides in length. Their secondary structure includes four short double-helical elements and three loops (D, anti-codon, and T loops). RNAcentral also lists the same sequence under 1 other name. Lineage: Bacteria; Pseudomonadati; Planctomycetota. The record is from RNAcentral.